UACGUAGGGCGCAAGCGUUGUCCGGAAUUAUUGGGCGUAAAGAGCUCGUAGGCGGUCUGUUGCGUCCGCUGUGAAAACUCGGGGCUUAACCCCGAGCCUGCAGUGGAUACGGGCAGACUAGAGGUAGGUAGGGGAGAAUGGAAUUCCCGGUGUAGCGGUGAAAUGCGCAGAUAUCGGGAGGAACACCGGUGGCGAAGGCGGUUCUCUGGGCAUUACCUGACGCUGAGGAGCGAAAGUGUGGGGAGCGAACAGG
RNAcentral lists this ribosomal RNA (253 nucleotides) under uncultured bacterium. Its description in RNAcentral is "partial 16S ribosomal RNA". It matches the Rfam family "Bacterial small subunit ribosomal RNA", at positions 524 to 776 of the family's 1533-position model. The record is from RNAcentral.